GACGAACGCUGGCGGCGUGCUUAACACAUGCAAGUCGAGCGGAAAGGCCCUGCUUUUGUGGGGUGCUCGAGUGGCGAACGGGUGAGUAACACGUGAGUAACCUGCCCUUGACUUUGGGAUAACUUCAGGAAACUGGGGCUAAUACCGGAUAGGAGCUCCUGCGGCAUGGUGGGGGUUGGAAAGUUUCGGCGGUUGGGGAUGGACUCGCGGCUUAUCAGCUUGUUGGUGGGGUAGUGGCUUACCAAGGCUUUGACGGGUAGCCGGCCUGAGAGGGUGACCGGCCACAUUGGGACUGAGAUACGGCCCAGACUCCUACGGGAGGCAGCAGUGGGGAAUAUUGCACAAUGGGCGGAAGCCUGAUGCAGCAACGCCGCGUGCGGGAUGACGGCCUUCGGGUUGUAAACCGCUUUCGCCUGUGACGAAGCGUGAGUGACGGUAAUGGGUAAAGAAGCACCGGCUAACUACGUG
This 468-nucleotide ribosomal RNA is filed under the name uncultured bacterium. RNAcentral's name for it is "partial 16S ribosomal RNA". It matches the Rfam family "Bacterial small subunit ribosomal RNA", at positions 28 to 507 of the family's 1533-position model. The record is from RNAcentral.